UAGGGAAUAUUAGUAAUGGGCGAAAGCCUGAACUAGCAACACCGCGUGUGCGAAGAAGGCCUUCGGGUUGUAAAGCACUUUUUGAGAGGAUGAGGAAGGACGGUACUCUCAGAAUAAGUCUCGGCUAACUACGUGCCAGCAGCCGCGGUAACAUGUAGGAGGCAACAGUUAUCCGGAUUUACUGGGCGUAAAGCGCGUGUAGGUGGUUUGGUAAGUAGAGCGUGAAAGCCCCUGGCGCAACUGGGAGAGGUCGUUCGAAACUGCCGGACUAGAGGAUGGUAGAGGGAGGUGGAAGUCCGGGUGGAGCGGUGGAAUGCGCAGAUAUCCGGAGGAACACCAGUGGCGAAAGCGGCCUCCUGGACCACUCCUGACACUCAGACGCGAAAGCUAGGGUAGCAAACG
This 402-nucleotide ribosomal RNA is filed under the name uncultured prokaryote. RNAcentral's name for it is "bacterial SSU rRNA". It matches the Rfam family "Bacterial small subunit ribosomal RNA", at positions 355 to 774 of the family's 1533-position model. The record is from RNAcentral.